RNAcentral lists this ribosomal RNA (140 nucleotides) under uncultured cyanobacterium. RNAcentral's name for it is "partial 16S ribosomal RNA". It matches the Rfam family "Bacterial small subunit ribosomal RNA", at positions 614 to 751 of the family's 1533-position model. The record is from RNAcentral. Lineage: Bacteria; Bacillati; Cyanobacteriota.
CCCAUACAGGCGAUGGAAACUACAAGGCUAGAGUUUGGUAGGGGUCACGGGAAUUCUUAGUGUAGCGGUGAAAUGCGUAGAUAUUAAGAAGAACACCAGCGGAGAAAGCGCGUGACUGGGCCAGUACUGACACUCAUGGA